Long non-coding RNA from Triticum aestivum (bread wheat), 3290 nucleotides. RefSeq lists it as uncharacterized. The record is from RefSeq and is a predicted model, not a curated record. The transcript has 5 exons. NCBI's taxonomy places the organism in Eukaryota, Viridiplantae, Streptophyta, Magnoliopsida, Poales, Poaceae.
GUUCCACCGAUUUUCUCCUUCCUUUUUCCCACCAAUCCCCACCGAUUUAUUUUAAUUCAUCCCGAUUUUUUCCUUUUUUAUGAGAUCACGAUUAUUUUUCCCGAACAAGGAAGAGGUGGUUCGGGAGCCCAGCCCACCCAAUCCUCUCUAGCGCCUCAAGCAGCAGACGCACGCAGGAAGCACAAACCCAUGACCCCGACCUCGCAGCGCGCUAGGGUUAGCCUGCCGCCCAUCCUCACCCGGCGCCGCCUCCGGUCCAGAUAGAUGAGACGAUAGGAUCCCCACGAGCGCGUGAAGCCCUGCCGAUGCGGGAGAUGGACCUGGAGGUUUACGUCCACGAGGGUGACGGGCAGGUCGUGCGGCGCUGCAAGGACAAGAGCACCGUCUCCGGCGUCAGGUACGUCCGUAAGGAUGCGCCUGGUAUUUCGUUCGUGCACUGCUGGUUUUCGCCAUCUUUCCCUAGAGACAGCCACUCCAGGAGGAAUGGGUGUUUCGUGGCUGCGUUGCGGCCCUCCGCAUGCAUAGGAGGCCGACUGCAGUGAGUUCAUCGGCUGCGUCCACCAGUCUUGAUGUUGCAGAGGUCAGAGGGUUUCCAGGAGAAUCAGACUAUCCCUCCAGGCCCCAAGAAAGAGGGCAAGAGUGAGCGGUGCAGUGUUAGGUUUGGAAGUACCAAGGCACAACCUUAAUUAGUGGCUGAUAGGGUGCUCUAGGUACUGCACGGCAUGGUAUUACUGACCUGCAGCUUGAUGUUUCGAUCAGGUGAGGUUUGUCGUAAUAUUCAUUGUCUAUGCUAUUGAACAUGAGCUUUGGGUACUUGACAUCGUAAAACAUGGUGAAGGAUCAAAUGAUUUGCUUCAUUUGAUCGUACAGUGUGGGCAGUUCUAGAUGAGUUGGUUGUACUGGACAUUAAUUUAGGCCAUGCUCAAAAGUUCCCGAGUUCACAUAUAUAGUAACAAAUUUGCCUUGUUUCUUCUAAAAGAGUCGAUUUUGCAUGUAUUUAACAGAAACGUUAUCAAGUCUGCUGCAUUCAAAAUCUUGAUAAUAUUUCUAAUGUAUUGAUAUGGUGUAAAUAUUUUAAAGAAUUUGUAUGUAGAAAACCAAUUACAGUUAGAUAGAAAAUUUAGCUUGCUAUAAGGAAUUCCGAGGCAGGUUUGGUCCCAAUGUCUUGGGACAAAUGCAUGGGUUUUCACUCUGCUAAUAUGGAGACCUUUGUGCCAGCUGGUUUGGUGCAUUCAGCUUAGUCAGGAACAUUCUUCAGGAUAGAGCUACUGGAAGCAAGUAACAUGUGCAUAUUAUUCGUCCAUAACAAGAACUUAAAUCCAUAAUCUGAUAAAAGUGAAGGUCAGAUAGAGGAAUAUCACUGGUCCUGUCAAGAAAGAAUGCUCCUAUUGUUUUAUUUUUGUCAAUAAACAAUUACGUGUAUGGGGGUUGCCCCAUGGAUGAAGCAAGGUGAUGCCGAUGGCCGUCCGGCCUGGUCCUCAUAUCGAUCGGUUUGUUGCUGGUCUUUGAUGCUUGAUCUUCUGUUAUCUUCAGCCGGCAUGGUGCUUAGUAAACAAGCAUGAUCUACUUAUGAGAAGUGGGUAUACUUUUUCUUCAGUUCUCUUCGUAAGAGUUCUUUGAUCCUUGUGAAGACUUGACAUGAAUUAUAGUGGAUGCAGGGCAUGAAUGGUAGGACGUGCUUCCGUCGCCGCCCCUGGUCCUCCACUCCUCCUCUCCCAUGCCUCCCCUUCUGCUAGCAGCAGCGGCCGGGGCCGCGCGAAGCAGUAACGAAGGACAACGGUGGCAGCGAGUGGACGGAUGGAGGUCACGGGCAUGUCUCCUCUCUAUGUCCUCCUGAACAUCAUAGCUCUAUACGUGUCACGGUCAAUCGGCAAUAUAAGCAACGAACGUAUCCAACCUCUUGUGAUCCCUUCGUCCCUAAGCUUUGGACCAAUGAAUUUUUCGUCUCUUCGUAAAACACACAAUUUCCAUAUCUUAUAAACUGCCCUUGCAAGUGCAAGUGAUACUGCAAAUGUCAUCUUGUUUGAUUUAUUUUGCCAUUUAUUUGAUUCGUGUCCUUCGAUUUGUAUAGUUCUUUAAUGAUUGAUAUUACUUGAUAAGAAAUGGGGAAAUACUUUGAAGUCCAAUAUAGGGGAAUAUGGCAGUUUUGGAGGUGCGGACAUUGCUUAUCUGAAUCUAUGGUUCGAUGGAUAUGACUAAUUAUCUGAAUCUAGAUGAUUUUCAUGUUUUUUCUUGCUUGCAUGAUAUGAGCAUGACUGAUGUGAAGUUCGAUAUGGGUUGGCCGUAGAGCCGGAAGUACAAUAUUUCCACUGCUGGCAUAUAUCUCCAGAUAUAUUUGUUCAUGUGUGUAAUUUUCUUCACAAGAUGUUGACUUGGUUAAGGUACUUUUUUCUUUCUGACACAGCUGAAUCACCUCAUGCACUCAGUUUUAUGCAUUGGUUUCAAAGUUGGUUGAAUGCAGAAACACACGAAUUUCAGACAUAACUGGGUUAAUGCAUUUGCGCGGGAUAUUACAUCAGAACAACCGAUAGUGGUUGUGGAGCCGUCCUUUGCGACUGCAGUUGCACUGGAAAAGAAUUCAUUGUUUCUGCAAAACCUUAGAAAUAUACUCAAAGUAAGUACUGCUUUUACUUUCAACCAUGAGACCGGAAUUUUUUUCAUUUCAUGGAUGUUUCCUUAAUGAUUUAGAAAACUGAAAUCGUGCAUUCUGUAUACCAUGGCGUGUGGCCGUGUAAACUUGUCAUGUGUUUUAUUUUUCUCAUAGAAGAGAUGUGCUGUAAUAAUUUUGGAACGACCAUAUGAGAUAUGUGGAUGUGAAUAAUGUACUGGUGCAUGCCUCCUAAAAUCGUCAACACUAGAGUCAUGCACUAACAUUUGUUUUUUCAGGCUUUCAGCAAAAUUUGAGAUGGCUAAUUAACAGAGUGGUAGAGCAUUUCGAUUCCUUUCCUUGUUUAAGUUGGACAAUCUAAAACCACACAAUGGCGUCGUGGCGGUAAUUCCAAAGGUUAUUUAGUGAGACGUAUAGGGACUUUGUCUUCCUGUUGGGUAAGGGUGGAAUGAAACACAUGAAGAUCAAGGAAACGACAACCGGUUACAGUUCAAAGGAAGCCCGUUGGCAAGAAAAACAUUGACGCUUGUCAACUCUGGCAAUGGACUAAAAACAUUCCCCUAUAAAGUCAUUUUUGAUUGUCGUAGGGAGUAUAACCAUUAAUUUAUGUGCUUCGGAAUGGUGGAGUAAAUGAGCCAGGAUUAAGUUAGAAAAGUUGUCUCAACCCGUGCAAUGGUUAAGA